CCUACGGGUGGCAGCAGUGGGGAAUAUUGCACAAUGGGGGAAACCCUGAUGCAGCGAAGCCGCGUGAGUGAAGACGUAUUUCGGUAUGUAAAGCUCUGUCAGCAGGGAAGAAAAUGACGGUACGUGACCAAGAAGCCCCGGCUAACUACGUGCCAGCCGCAGCGGUCAGACGUAGGGGGCAAGCGUUAACCGGAUUUGCUGGGUGUAAAGGGAGCGUAGACGGCAGGGCAAGCCUGGAGUGAAAGGCGGGGGCUCAACCCCCGGACUGCUCUGGAAACUGCCAGGCUGGAGUGCAGGAGAGGUAAGUGGAAUUCCUAGUGUAGCGGUGAAAUGCGUAGAUAUUAGGAGGAACACCAGUUGCGAAGGCGGCUUACUGGACUGUAACUGACGUUGAGGCUCGAAAGCGUGGGGAGCAAACAGGAUUAGAUACCCUGGUAGUC
This 440-nucleotide ribosomal RNA is filed under the name uncultured bacterium. Its description in RNAcentral is "partial 16S ribosomal RNA". It matches the Rfam family "Bacterial small subunit ribosomal RNA", at positions 338 to 795 of the family's 1533-position model. The record is from RNAcentral.